Molecule: RNA transcript, 1313 nt
Organism: Tarenaya hassleriana
Lineage: Eukaryota; Viridiplantae; Streptophyta; Magnoliopsida; Brassicales; Cleomaceae
Exons: 12
Source: RefSeq, a predicted model, not a curated record
CUAAAAAAAAAUAUUGUCCCUGAUUUUCAUUCCGUACAAAAGCGAUUGUGAAUUGAAGGGUGCCAUCGCCGAUCAGACGAGUCUCAUGGACGACAUGUCAGCGUACUACUCGCACUAUAACAUCCCUCCUCCGGCGCCAGCGCCUCCGGGAGUGGCUCCGCCGCUUGUAGUGGCUCCGGUUCCAUUUGUUCCGAUUCAUCCUACCUACUCACAUCCUCACGCCUCUGGCGACGAGGUUCGUACUCUCUUCGUCGCCGGCCUGCCCGAAGACGUCAAGCCCCGGGAGAUCUACAAUCUCUUCCGCGAUUUCCCUGGCUACGAGUCCUCCCAUCUCCGCAGCUCCGAUAAGGAUUCCAAGCCCUUCGCGUUUGCGGUUUUCUCCGAUCUCCAAUCCGCUGUUGCGGCGAUGCACGCCCUAAAUGGAAUGGUUUUUGACCUUGAAAAGCAUUCAAUACUUCACAUUGAUCUUGCCAAAUCAAAUCCCAGAUCUAAACGCACAAGAACAGAUGAUGGCUGGGAAAACUUGAAGAAGACCAAGUCUUUGAGUGCGGCUACAGAUUUUGGUUUGGGCAGCACUAGCAUUCACAGUCCUGGAAUGAGUAGUUCCGCUUACGACACAAUUGGUUAUCCACCUGCACCAAGUCAUGGGAUUGUGGAUACCCCUGGCGGUGCAAUGGCAACUGGAAAAUCUAAUAAUUCGGCAGCUCCUUGUCCAACACUUUUUGUAGCUAAUCUAGGACCAAGUUGCACGGAAUCUGAGCUAGUUCAAGUGUUUUCAAGAUGUCGUGGAUUUUUGAAGCUGAAGAUGCAGGACACGUAUGGGACUCCUGUUGCAUUCGUCGAUUUCCAGGAUGUCAGUUAUUCAGCGGAGGCACUACAUAAUCUUCAAGGCACAGUUCUCUACUCAUCUCCCACUGGAGAGGGCUUGCGCUUGCACAAUCACAGAUAUGCAAGAUCGCGGAUGGGAAUGCGUAAGAAGGUCAAGUAAUCCCGAAAUGAUAGAGCCCUUAUUAUAGUUGCAGAUCAUCCAAAUCCAACAUGUCUGCCGUGUUCGUUUGCUGCAACCAUUACAAACCAAGGAGCAUUAAUCGGACUAUAUAUCGAGAAAAUGAUGCUUUCCGAUCAGAACACACGAGAAACAGUUGAAGGAUCGAUCCGACGAUUAGGAACACGAUAUGAUCUGAUUUUACGACCCGAUGUUAUGUUCGGUACCCAAAAUUACGGUCUCGAACCAUUGUGUUUUGAGGCUGGAGACUCUUGUAACUUACCCUUUCAGCGAUGCUUCGAGGAUGUGUGGCGCAACCUCGUUUGGC